UACGUAGGCAGCGAGCGUUGUUCGGAAUUACUGGGCGUAAAGGGCUCGUAGGCGGCCAACUAAGUCAGACGUGAAAUCCCCCGGCUUAACCAGGGAACUGCGUCUGAUACUGGAUGGCUUGAGUUUGGGAGAGGGAUGCGGAAUUCCAGGUGUAGCGGUGAAAUGCGUAGAUAUCUGGAGGAACACCGGUUGCGAAGGCGACAUCCUGGACCAACACUGACGCUGAGGCGCGAAAGCGUGGGGAGCGAACAGG
RNAcentral lists this ribosomal RNA (253 nucleotides) under uncultured bacterium. Its description in RNAcentral is "partial 16S ribosomal RNA". It matches the Rfam family "Bacterial small subunit ribosomal RNA", at positions 524 to 776 of the family's 1533-position model. The record is from RNAcentral.